AGCUGCAGAGACUCCGUCUUCGUAGCCCAUUAUGCUGCCGUCUCUGCGCCGAUGACAGCCCGAGGAUUGGAAUGCUGUUGCCACUGACGCGAAUCCAGGCAGUCCUUGCCUGCAACACAAAAAGUGCAGGAAUGACAAGGUGCCAGAAGAAGACUUGGUGCAUCCCUUUUAAUAUGUUAAAAAAACAAAAAGAUGAUGUCAUUAUGUCACUAAGUCAAAAAGAAGAAAAAUAAAUACGUAAUUCCGAUUUCCAAAGAUGGCCGCCGAAAACGUUACAUCCGACACCUUAUAUGACACUACUUCUGGCUCUUCCUGAUGACAUCGCUACCAUUACCACAUCACUUCCAGUCCACUGUUGAUGAUGUCACCUCUGUCCCACAGCUUUGAUGUCAUCUCCUGCCAACUCACUUCCCAUCUCCAUUUUGUUUUCUGUAUAAAAGCGCCAUUUUUUAUGAUAACGAUGUCAAAU
Molecule: long non-coding RNA, 469 nt
Organism: Polypterus senegalus (gray bichir)
Lineage: Eukaryota; Metazoa; Chordata; Cladistia; Polypteriformes; Polypteridae
Exons: 4
Source: RefSeq, a predicted model, not a curated record